Non-coding RNA from Cinara cedri, 201 nucleotides. Lineage: Eukaryota; Metazoa; Arthropoda; Insecta; Hemiptera; Aphididae. The record is from the annotation of a GenBank genome assembly.
CGUUCCGUCCGGAAAAUAAUUCUAAAUUAUGAGAUUUUUGGCCGGAAUAGGAUCGGAUUUUUAGAUUUUUCCGUUAGAACCAAAUUCGAAUUUCUGUCGGAUCGGAUCGGAUUCACAUUUGACGACCCUUGUGGGACACUAACACAUUUGCAUCACGUACAAUAUUAUCGUGUUAACGGAAUAACGGCGAAACAAAUCUAC